UCCUCUUUUUUAUUUCUUUCCAUGGGCUUGGAUGGUGGGAAGUGGAGCAAACAUCUCUGACAAGAUUAAAGAAGUCUGCAUGUUGAGAAUAUUCAGAGUAAUGGGAUAGAAAUAAUCUGGGUUCCUAUAUUACUUACUAUAAUGAUUCAAUGAAGAGAUGGCAGAUGAAGACUUGAACUAAGGAUGUUUCCAUUGAUUGAUUAGAGAAAGAGGAAGAAAGAGAGAAAGAGAAAGAAACAUGGAUCAGUUCCUUCCUGCACAUACCCCAAACUUGGAUCUAACCCACAACAUGGAUACGUGCCCUGUCCAGGAAUCAAACCCACAAUCUUUUGGUGUAUGGGACAACACUCUAAGAAUCUACAUGGUCUCGAAGUUGUUUUCUGAAAAUAUACAAUCAUAUUCUCGACCAAAAGUUAAUAAAGGAAUCUUUUCUAUAAA
Molecule: long non-coding RNA, 438 nt
Organism: Eptesicus fuscus (big brown bat)
Lineage: Eukaryota; Metazoa; Chordata; Mammalia; Chiroptera; Vespertilionidae
Exons: 3
Source: RefSeq, a predicted model, not a curated record